Long non-coding RNA from Saccostrea cuccullata (small rock oyster), 267 nucleotides. RefSeq lists it as uncharacterized. The transcript is spliced from 3 exons. Lineage: Eukaryota; Metazoa; Mollusca; Bivalvia; Ostreida; Ostreidae. The record is from RefSeq and is a predicted model, not a curated record.
AUCUAUAUGCAACUUUAUUUGUCACUCACAGCGGCACAAAGGUUAGGGCGUGGGAUUCCGCUGUUGAAUGAAGACCAACAUGAACUACCAGACGAAGAGGGACGUAUGGAUUCUUUGUUGAUCUCGAAGGGUCCCUGGGGCAGGGUAUUCCCUCAUGCAAUAAUCUAAUAUGUGGAUAGACAAGGAACAUAUACCAAUGCAUUUGAAAACCAAGCUUUGAUGUCUUUGUAUGUCUGUUUCUAUAAAAAUAAAUUUCUCAAGGUUAAC